Molecule: non-coding RNA, 203 nt
Organism: Triticum urartu
Lineage: Eukaryota; Viridiplantae; Streptophyta; Magnoliopsida; Poales; Poaceae
Source: RefSeq, a predicted model, not a curated record
GUCUGACCACUCUUUUCUUAGGUUACUCGGCAUGCUCGGCGUGUUUACUUCGGUGGACUUCCUCCGAUCACUAAUGAACAGAUGGUUGCUCUAUUCUUCAAUCAAGUUAUGGCUGCUAUCGGGGGAAACACAUUUGGUCUAGGUGGCAUAAUCAUCUGAAUCCAAACAUAUGGAACGAUGCUUGGACUACUGAGGAAGAACAU